RNAcentral lists this ribosomal RNA (421 nucleotides) under uncultured bacterium. Its description in RNAcentral is "partial 16S ribosomal RNA". It matches the Rfam family "Bacterial small subunit ribosomal RNA", at positions 360 to 773 of the family's 1533-position model. The record is from RNAcentral.
AAUCUUCCGCAAUGGACGAAAUUCUGACGGAGCAACGCCGCGUGAGAGAUGAAUGUUUUCGGAUCGUAAAACUCUGUUGUCAGGGAAGAACAAGUAUCGGAGUAACUGCCGGUACCUUUACGGUACCUGACUAGAAGUCCACUGCUAACUACGUGCUAUCAGACGCGGUAAUACGUAGGUGGCAAGCGUUGUCCGGAAUUAUUGGUCGUAAAGCGCGCGCAGGCGGUCUUUUAAGUCUGAUGUGAAAGCCCCCGGCUCAACCGGGGAGGGUCAUUGGAAACUGGGAGACUUGAGUGCAGAAGAGAAGAGUGGAAUUCCACGUGUAGCGGUGAAAUGCGUAGAGAUGUGGAGGAACACCAGUGGCGAAGGCGACUCUUUGGUCUGUAACUGACGCUGAGGCGCGAAAGCGUGGGGAGCGAAC